This 439-nucleotide ribosomal RNA is filed under the name uncultured bacterium. Its description in RNAcentral is "partial 16S ribosomal RNA". It matches the Rfam family "Bacterial small subunit ribosomal RNA", at positions 339 to 795 of the family's 1533-position model. The record is from RNAcentral.
CUACGGGAUGCACCAGUGAGGAAUAUUGCACAAUGGGGGAAACCCUGAUGCAGCAACGCCGCGUGGAGGAUGACGCAUUUCGGUGUGUAAACUCCUUUUAUGAGUCAAGAAAAUGACGGUAGCUCAUGAAUAAGCACCGGCUAACUCCGUGCCAGCAGCCGCGGUAAUACGGAGGGUGCAAGCGUUACUCGGAAUCACUGGGCGUAAAGGACGCGUAGGCGGGCUUGUAAGUCAGGUGUGAAAUCCUACAGCUUAACUGUAGAACUGCACUUGAAACUACGAGCCUAGAGUAUGGGAGGGGGAGAUGGAAUUAGUGGUGUAGGGGUAAAAUCCGUAGAUAUCACUAGGAAUACCUAAAGCGAAGGCGAUCUCCUGGAACAUUACUGACGCUAAGGCGUGAAAGCGUGGGGAGCAAACAGGAUUAGAUACCCGAGUAGUC